AACAUUUAUGUUUCAAUCACCGAGACACCCUGAUUGGUUUACAAAAUGACAGAUGCAUGUCCAAUGAUUCAUUGUUUGCUCCAUUACACAAAAUGCCCAGUUGACAAGACACCAUAUAGGUUUACCAAAUGAUAAAAGACACAAUGUUUUUCUCCAUUACACAAAAUGCCUAGCUAACAAAAACUGCCAUCUUCAUGGUUACUUCCUGGUCCUCAUGUAUGUCAUUCCUACAAAGGAUAAAAGGGUCGCCGGUGAAUUCAUGCAUUCAUUGAGAUAAUGGAAUAAAUAAUAAUUGUAUAAAGCACCAAUGGCAAAAACAAACUGGGAUUUUAGCAUUAUAAAAACAUGGCAUGUUCUAAUUAGAAUCUGUGACGGAUUAGACAUAAUAAAGCAUCAAUGCCACACCGACCAACCAUAUAGCCUGUAUCAAUCUCCUCAAGUCGCAGACCAAGAAGUAUAUUAAAUGGAAAAGGAGCAUAUGCAUCAUCUGGCCACAAGGCAACAAUUUAGAAUGUCCAGACACCCAAUUAUUGGGAGCAACACAUCCACCAACGGACAGAUGAAAGUCAUUUUUGAAGAAAAGACUGCACUAGUUAUCUUUCUUUUUCUUAUCUCGGGUGGAAAGACCACACUUUGCUGCACUAGACGGCAAUACAUUAGGCAAAAUGAUUACUAUCUAAUACACAGCUAGAAGUUUCAAUGAUGAGUGCAGCAUGGCCUGGGAAAAGCAUUCUCAAAAACCCACGUACAUCAGGAGGUUAUGCAUACUUUCCCUAUGUUAGAAAUGAAUUUCAAGGAGAAGAAUCUAUCCGCAAUCAUUUCUAAAUGCAGUACUAAGCACAUGAGGACCUGCAAAAUACCAAACAAAAAGUAUCUGAACUUACACUGCACCUGACUAUUAUAUUCCUAAAAAUAUCGGAGAAAAGCAUCUGUACUUCAGUGCCACAAAUUAGAUUAAAUUGAUGACCAUCCUCUGAUCUCACUGCACUAAGUUGUGGCAAUUGCGGGACAGAUGUGGG
Molecule: long non-coding RNA, 1019 nt
Filed under: Triticum aestivum (bread wheat)
Lineage: Eukaryota; Viridiplantae; Streptophyta; Magnoliopsida; Poales; Poaceae
Description: long non-coding RNA (TAES_LNC028394)
Source: RNAcentral